This 273-nucleotide ribosomal RNA is filed under the name uncultured bacterium. RNAcentral's name for it is "partial 16S ribosomal RNA". It matches the Rfam family "Bacterial small subunit ribosomal RNA", at positions 524 to 796 of the family's 1533-position model. The record is from RNAcentral.
GACGAACCGAGCGAACGUUGUUCGGAAUCACUGGGCUUAAAGGGCGCGUAGGCGGGCUGUCAAGUCUGGGGUGAAAUCCCGCGGCUCAACCGUGGAACUGCCUCAGAUACUGACGGCCUCGAGGGAGGUAGGGGCGAGCGGAACUAAUGGUGGAGCGGUGAAAUGCGUUGAUAUCAUUAGGAACUCCGGUGGCGAAGGCGGCUCGCUGGACCUUUUCUGACGCUGAGGCGCGAAAGCUAGGGGAGCAAACGGGAUUAGAAACCCCCGUAGUCC